Molecule: ribosomal RNA, 978 nt
Filed under: Triticum aestivum (bread wheat)
Lineage: Eukaryota; Viridiplantae; Streptophyta; Magnoliopsida; Poales; Poaceae
Description: partial small subunit ribosomal RNA
Source: RNAcentral
CCGCCGCUGGCCAAGGGGCUGUCGUUCGACUUCUACAGCGCCAAGUGCCCGCAGGCGGAGGCCAUCGUCUUCUCCUUCCUCAAGGACGCCAUCCGCAAGGACGUCGGCCUCGCCGCCGCGCUCCUCCGCAUCCACUUCCACGACUGCUUCGUGCAGGGCUGCGACGGCUCCGUGCUCCUCGACAAGACCAACGGCGUCGACAGCGAGAAGGUGUCUCCCCCGAACGUCACGCUCCGUCCGUCGGCGUUCAAAGCCAUCAACGACAUCCGCGCCCUGCUCCAGAGGGCGUGCGGCGGGCCCGUGGUCUCGUGCGCCGACAUCGCGGCCCUCGCCGCGCGCGACUCCGUCCACCUGGCCGGCGGUCCGCGGUACGCCGUCCCGCUCGGCCGCCGCGACGGGCUCGCCCCCGCGUCCCUGGAGACCAUCUUGGGCGCGCUCCCGCCGCCGACCUCCAAGGUCCCCGUGCUCCUCAGCUUCCUCGCAAAGAUCGGCCUGGACGCCGACGACCUGGUGGCGCUGUCCGGGGCGCACACGCUGGGGAUCGCGCACUGCGGCUCCUUCGAGGAGCGGCUGUUCCCCAAGGAGGACACCACCAUGAACAAGUGGUUCGCCGGCCACCUGAAGCUCACCUGCCCGCGACUCAAGGUGGACAACUUCACCGCCAACGACAUCCGCACGCCCGACGUGUUCGACAACAAGUACUACUUGGACCUUCUGAACCGGCAGGGCCUCUUCACCUCCGACCAAGACCUGCACACCGACGCCGGGACCAAGCCCGUGGUCACCAGGUUCGCCGUCGACCAGGGCGCCUUCUUCGACCAGUUCGUCAGGUCCAUGGUGAAGAUGGGGCAGAUCAACGUGCUCACCGGCAACCAGGGCCAGAUCCGCACGGACUGCUCCCUGCCCAACGCUGCCCGCAGCGCCGGUGACGAGCUGCCCUGGUCUGUUGUCGAGGCCGUCGAGAGCUUCGUGUUGUAG